GUUUUUUUUUUUUUUUUUAAACCUUAACCAUGUAACAUUGUAUUGAUUUUACCUUAAAAGCAUGAGUUUGACACUAUUUUUACUUGAUUCUAAGUUUCUAAAUGUUUCAAAUUGUGCACAUGUUUUUAAUUCAAGCUCAUAAAAUAUACAAAUCAACUCACAAACUCAUAGAAUAACAAUAAUUCUAAUUAUAUUUUGCUUGUUUGGCUCCUCGUAAGUCACAAAAAGAGUUUCUGAGAUCAGAAUCUUAAAUUUAGCAUAAGUAAUAAACCAAGCCAUUAUUAGCAAAUUAGCAAUGCAGAUCUUCUUAUUGCUAAGAGUAAUAUAAUUACAUGUGUUAAACUGCAAACCAACUAAUAACAUAACCGACUAAAAGCAUCAUCCAUCCAAAGAAGAAGACCAAGUCAUAAAGAAACUAACCGGAUAUGAAGCAUGGCCAUGCC
Molecule: unclassified non-coding RNA, 443 nt
Filed under: Hevea brasiliensis (rubber tree)
Lineage: Eukaryota; Viridiplantae; Streptophyta; Magnoliopsida; Malpighiales; Euphorbiaceae
Source: RNAcentral